This 5674-nucleotide long non-coding RNA is filed under the name Citrus x clementina. RNAcentral's name for it is "Citrus clementina (C. clementina) long non-coding RNA (CCLE_LNC000100)". The record is from RNAcentral. Lineage: Eukaryota; Viridiplantae; Streptophyta; Magnoliopsida; Sapindales; Rutaceae.
UUGCUUUUGACUUGCACCAUUGAGUUUGCACCAAAAAUUCUCCAGUACACGUCGCUGCUUUGCAAGACAAGAUCGAUCUGAGGCACUGCUGGGCCGACACGUGUGCUGCCAAUGCGGGUAGAAUCAAAGCACGCCCCAAAAGGUGAAACUGAUUCGACUCUAGGCGCAUUAGCCAACUCUUUGGUGAAAGCUUUAACGAAAGCUUCGUAGAUUGAUGACUCCAACACUGUGUAAGGAUGGACGGUGCUGAUCUUGGUUCCGCCGACACCGUUUUUGUCAAUCGAUAGCAAAGAAGUGUUUAACGGGACAACAUGUCCGUUGAUUUUAACGGACUUGACUCCAAUGAAGUAAUCAGUUGAAGGUCGGGGCCUGAAAAGAAGAGAAGCUGUGGACACAGGAUUGAGGAUAAGUGGGGUGUAUACGAGAGACGUGGAAACGUCAACACCAGGGAGCAUCACAUAAGGCCCGUUGCCAAAGAAGACAGCACCGUUAGCUUUGGUAGAAGAGCUCAAGCAAAUGGCAAAUUUUCUAGGAAAGCUGAAAGCAGAAGAGAACAGAGAUGGAAGUGAAAUUGAGUUUCUUCCAAGGCCAGCCAUGCCCCUAACACCGUUAGCGAGAUCUGUCAAAUGAAACCUAUCGGCACACACAAAGAGGAGCUUAGGCACCGAAACAACUCUACCCGGGUUCUUCCCGUUAGUUGACUGGAUAGACGCGACAUCCAUGGACAACGGACCAUUGAAACUAAUGCCAUUUAUAGUGUUAUCCGGUAAGAGAUUGCAAGUAUUGUUGUUGCAGCCUGGCCUAGGUUGAGAAUCAGAGCAAUCCCAACAAAAUGGAGCAUUAGCAAGAGAGCAUGGAGCGGAGUGGCAAGGGGGAGAUGUGAAGGAAGAUGACUCAUAAUCUUCUAAACAAACCACCCAGAGAAACUGACCGCCAAGAUCAAGCGUAUAUUUCACAGGCACAAGUGGGGUUCUUUGGUUGAUUUGAGUGAGGUAUUGGAGAGUUGAUGCAUCUUUGGUUACGGGAAGAAUUAAUGCUUUUGGUCUAAAAGAUGUUUGGGCUAUGCAGGGAGAGAUGAUCACGGAAAGGACAAGUGAGCAAAAGAGAAGAUAAUUGUAAGAGAGAGCCAUAUCUUUGGCUCUAAGUGCUGCGUUGUGGAUAGAGUACUGCGUUGUGGAUAGAGUACUGCGGUAGAGUUGUGAGCAGCCAGCUGAAUUUAUAGUAGAUUUCUGAACGCGUAAAAGCUUUCAAUCAUGACCAAAUCCAAAUUACACAACUUGACAAGUUGUAACAAUUAAUGGGUAUUCUUCAAAUUCUAUAACGGCUGCUAGCUACCAAUUGGCAAAAGCAAUUAAUUGUCUCUGGCUGGCAUAGCUCAGAUCAGUAAACUGGUAAUAACAAGCAGUACGUAAUUUUUCACUUUUGAUGCACAUAUAUAUAAAGAAAAUAAUAUGGUAACAAUUAAUUCUAUUCAUAGAAUUGGUCAAACAGAGUCAUCAAUCAUAAAUUUACGUUGAUUGAUGAAUCGAUGAUCACAGUGUUGCCAACGAUCGCAAUUCUUAGCCCCUGACAGAGAUACAACUAAAAUCAACACAAAGUACGUAACAUAAAGCGAAAAUCCCAUUUACGGUUUGCAAUAACUCUGUUCAUUAACAUUCUUCUCAUGUAGUGGGAUUAAUUUGUGGUAGCUAAGCUAAGCAUGAUUACUGGUACUUCCAUCAUCUACGUAAGGCUUCAUAUUUCAUUUAAUAUGUACGGCUAGGCGACUAACUCCAAACAUUCUAUUUUACAGUUGAUGGAAUGGUUGCUAACCGUAGUGUAGUUGAUGACUAAGCUGGCUAAUUUUUGGGUGCUGAUCUAGACUCUUUCACUUGGUGAGAUUAUGCUGCCCCUGCGGCUGACAUUCUGUCUCUGUCGCACAGGGACGUUAUUAAGGUGCCAUAUUAUCGAUUCUGCUAAGUUAAUUGCCCCUUAUAUUUUUGUUUUCUAAAUUGUCUGGCUUUUUUUUUUUUUCUGGGUUUUGAGGAUUAUGUCUGGUCUGGUCUCUCCCCCUGCUUCUUUGCUUUGUGCUGCUACUUUCUUUAUUUAUUUUAAUAUAUCUCCCUCAAAUUUUUGAGGUUAAUUCAAAUUUAAAAAAAAAAAAACUAACCGUAUACUUCAUCGUUUAGGCAACGUGUGAUAUGAAAAUAAACAUUUAUUAAUAUAAAUAUUAAUUCAUACUAACCUUAAUUAGUUAAUUAAUUUUACCAAAUGAAAAAGGGUUUUGGUCAUUUCCUAUUUAGAAGUUAGAAAAGUAUUUUCUAUUUUGAUCAUCAAUUUCUUAUCUCUUUUUUUUUUAAUAAGCAUUACUAAUCCUAAUUAGAAUAGUAUCUUAAUUUUAUAUUGCUAUACAUACACAUAUGACAGAAAAUUAUGAAAAGUUGAGUAUAGAUAAGCUCAACAUGGAUUAAAUCUAUUUUAUAAACCACUCUAAAUCAGUAUAAGCCAAAUGUUAGAGAAAGAUCAAAUCAUAUUAUUGAGAGAAACUAACAAGGAAGACUCAUUUGUGACAUGUGAGAGUAAACAAGAGGUGGGAUUUCCUAAUUAAAAAGAGAGGCUUGCUAGAAACAAAUUCUCCGUACAAGAAUAUGUAAGAUUUGUUGGGUUUUGGUCAAAUAAGAAUAAAAAAUUUAAUUGUGAAAUGUGAUCACAACGAAUCACUUAUAAAAAAUCACAAUAUUUGGUGGUAUCUCGGUGUUUAGAAGUCUAUAUAAGGACAAGGGAGAUGACUUUCAAUAAUAAUCUCAUUCUUUAAAAAAAAUAUUGUAUAUUUUUGUUACAACAAUUCUUAUCCUUAUUAAUUUCCUACAAGAACAGAAAAUUUGCUAGAUAUAAAGUGUUCAUAUUCUCUUAGUGAGGUCUUCACUUUUGCUUGGAGCAUAUCACAUUAAAGGCUUGUCAUAUCCUAGUAGAGAUUGCUUAUAGGUUAAGAGACUUGCCGGUAAACCUAUAAGCAAUCUCUACCAAGAUGGGACAAAUAACGCUUAAGAGAAGCAUAUUCGAUACAUGUUUCAAGUCUCCAUCUACUCCUGCUGUUAUUUUUAACAAAGGUCCCUACACAAAAUUCAAGAACCCAUUGUUCACCAGACGGUUGGACAAGUUUAGGCAAUACGGAUUGUGGGAACGAUCUGAAGAUUUUUGUCCCAAAUCCCAAUGAUGAUAUCCCAUACACCAUUGGCGUCAGCAAUAACACUCGAGAAUGGUUCUUUGCUCAUGUUACUAGCAAAGUUGGAAAUAGCACAUUCCAACCUACCCACGGCAGAUUAUAUUUCAAUUGGAGAACGUCAGCAGCAAAGGAAAUUACACACUCCAAUUGGCCUUGUCAGCAGCUUCAUACUCUAAUUUACGGCUUCAGUUUAAUUUCAAUAUUUGUCAAAGAGACAGGCGACCUCUAUUCUCGACGGGGACAAUAGCAAAGGACAAUGCCAUUGCUAGACAUGGGAUUCAUGGCUUGUGUAGAUUUUACGUCAUCAACGUGCCAAGCUAUUUGCUUUACAGAGGAAACAAUACAAUCUAUCUUACUUAGUCAAGAAAUAACAGUCAAUAAAUAACUGACCCUUCCUAGGGGUCGUGUAUGAUUCUAUUGGCUUUGGAGAACCACCAAAUUCCAACGACAGAAAGUAGAUUAUAUUCUAGAGGCAUUAAAAGAUGAAAAAUUACCAUGUAUAAAGAAACUGAAGCACCUAUAAGUCGUUUUGUCAUUUUUCUUCUUUUCUUAAAUUGAAGUACGUACAAGUUUAAAAAAUAAAUAAAAAAAUAGACGAUAAAUAUAGUAUAACUUUGUUAAAUUAAUAAUUUUGAUUAAAAACUUUAAUGAAAUAAUAGUUUUUGUCGGUCCCAACUUAGGGCUAGCAUGAUAAAUUAAUAAUUCGAUAAAUUUAUUAGAUAAUAAAUUUUUCAAAAAAAAAUCAUUUUCCUAUAGGACCCAAUUAAUACAUAAAUUAAUUAAUACUUAACUAAUUUAAAACUAAGUACGUAUGAUAUGUUUAUGAUUUUCUUUGUUACACAUAUAUAAUGUUUUAUGCAUUUCAUUAGUCAUUGUUGCUUUCAUUAUACUUUUCAAAUGAGAACCAAUUUUUGUACUCCAUAUAGCUAUGUUAAGAGAGGUAAAGAAGAGAUCGACUUAAUAUAUAACCUCCCAAAAAUCUUCUCUAUGUUUUAUCAUGUAAUCGUCAUCGAGCCAAAUAAUUAUCAAAUGAUUGAUUCAAUCAUUCAAAAUCAAAUGAGAAUGGUGUCUUACAGCUUGAUAGAACCACUACAUUAUCUAAUUACACUGCCUUUAUAUUUCAUUAAAAUUCCUAUUAUGAAUGAGAUAUUAUCUUUAUAAAUUAGCAAGUAAUAGAUUUAUUGAUAUACUAAUAUUUGCUAAAUAUAUUUUUCAUAGUUCCAAAAUUAUUAAUUUUUAUCAAGGUUCUAUUCUAUAUUAUUAAAAGUAAGUAACAAUUCUUUGAUGAAGUACUACGAUUUCCGGUAGAAAAAGCUAUGAGACGAAUUUUUGUGGGUUCUUAUAAUGUAUUAGUUCCUCGUGAAUAUGUCCAUACCAAUCAACUAAAAUAAAAAUAAAAAAUUUAAUAUCUAAAUGCUUAUUUAAAAGGUGGUAGUUUGUGUUAGUUUUCUCCGAAAAACCUUAACUAUGUAUUUUAUUUUCUGAAAAUAUUCUUAAAAAUUUCAAAUCUGAAAAAAAAAAUUGAAAGAAUGUUUUGAACCAGAUUAAAAGAAAGAAGUUUACAAUAAUUUUUUCAUAUUUGAAUGUCAUGUAUAUAACGGAAUGAAAUUAUUAUGGGAGAGAAAUUAAAGUCUCACGUAGAAUUUUUGUGUUUGAGAAGACUAAAAAUUUGUAAAAUAUAACUAAAUUAAGAAAAAAAGGUUAUUUUUUCGUAACAUAUAUGUAUUUUUUUUUAUAUUACUUUGUUGUUAACAUUAAACAAAUAAAAAUAUGAUAACCAAAAAAAAAAUUAUUAGCAUUUACGUGGCAUGACUAUUUGUUUGAAAUUUGGGAAAGACAACGAAAAACAUGAUGCAAUAUAGCACAGCAUUGUAUUCUCGACUCACACUGAAAGCCAAACAAGGAAAAGUUUUAUUGGAAAAACAGAAAUGUAAUUAACCACGUGACAAUUUAUUUAUUACAUAAUCUUGAAACUGAAAUACAAAAACAAUUGCUAAUCAAGCAGUAGAUGUGAAGUUAAAAUUGGAACAUGUUGUCCGACGGAACAGGAGAGAAGAACUGAAGCCUAGCCUUGAUGUGGCCAAAUCAAACUGCAGAAGAUUGUCUUCCAAUUGAUGUCCUCCGAUCACAAUUGAAGUCCUAGGAUUCACUCCACCGUCCACAAAACCAAGGCACAUCACGUUGCUUUUGACUUGCACCAUUGAGUUUGCACCAAAAAUUCUCCAGUACACGUCGCUGCUUUGCAAGACAAGAUCGAUCUGAGGCACUGCUGGGCCGACACGUGUGCUGCCAAUGCGGGUAGAAUCAAAGCACGCCCCAAAAGGUGAAACUGAUUCGACUCUAGGCGCAUUAGCCAACUCUUUGGUGAAAGCUUUAACGAAAGCUUCGUAGAUUGAUGACUCCAACACUGUGUAAGGAUGGACGGUGCUGAUCUUGGUUCCGCCGACACCGUUUUUGUCAAUAGAUAGC